Molecule: long non-coding RNA, 13441 nt
Filed under: Lynx pardinus (Iberian lynx)
Lineage: Eukaryota; Metazoa; Chordata; Mammalia; Carnivora; Felidae
Rfam family: tRNA (bases 9452-9524)
Source: RNAcentral
GACAGAGGUAGCAGAAAGUCCAGGAGAGGAGUUUCCACUGCAAAUUGACCACAGUCCAUUCUCUUUCCAGAUUGGAAGGGAGGUAAGAACUGCUAUAGCACCCCUGACUUCUUCAGUUACCUUCAUUCCCUCAGCUGCACAGCCACCAACUUGGGAAAUCGAGAUCUUGGACAAAAAAGGGUAAGUCCAAGAGAUGCUAAAUUAAAUGGACUUUUGGAAAUUUUUGUGGGAUCCACAGACAAUUGUUUUUGGGGGCGGGGGAAGGCCUUCCUUUUUUUUUUUUUUUUUAAACUGUGGUACAAGAUACACAACCUGAAUUUUACCAUCGUAAUUGGUUUUAAGGGUACAUUCCAGUGGAGAGGACUUUUCUGAUGACUCCAGUUCUCUCCCCAUACUGAUGUAGACUGUAUAGUCCUUUGCUAGCAAAUUUCUUCAGGGUCAGAUCGCAGGGGCUCCUCAGUUAAGCUGGGUUAGUUAGCUCCUGCAACAGGGAAGUCCUCAAAAAUACCAGAAAUGUGACAGGAAAUCAUUCAGGGGUCAUUUCUCCUUGAUGUGAGGGAGAUCUCAUUUCUUGCUGUGUCCCUUUAAUUUUUUAUCUCUCUGCCUUGGCCCUAACAACUUGUCCAGACCUGUGGCUUGCCCUUGGGCCUGCUUUCUUUUGUUAUGCUGCAUUUUUGUUCUCUGCAGACUCCUGGCUUAUUCUGACUCUGAAAAACCUAUUUUCCUUGGGAUCUGACUUGUCUGCCCCUUCAGUGGUCUCGCAUAGCUUAUUUGUCAGAUGUGACUGACAGCUCCUGCUCUCUACCUGAGCUUCAGCCCCACACCUCUGACUGCCCACUGGUCAUUUCCUCUGGAAUGUGCCAGUCAUUCUUCUGCCAACCAGAUUGCAACAUGUUUAAACACAACCUUCAUUUUUUUUUUGCCACAAACCAGCUGCUUUUAUAACCUCUCAUUCCCUGUCAAUAGUCCAUUAAGUCAUUUAGACCAGAAGCAACAUCCUCUCUGAUUUAAUCUCCCUUCACUGCCCUCAGCCAUUCAUUCCUUAAGAACACUCAGAUGUUCCUUCAAAUAUUGAUCAUUGUUUCUGUCCUUCCUCUACCUCCCCCCAUGCCCAUUUUCAGGUCCUUACCACCUCUCAUAUCAUCUAGUGCUCACAUCUACUCUUUCCCCCACUCAAUUUCCCGUGCCAGGCCUAGACCUAUCUUUAUUAAUCAAGUCAUGCCUGUUCAAAACCCUGAAGUUCUUAACUUGUCCUAUCAUACAGGUUUCUUGUCCUUUUCAAGCUAUUCAGGUUUCCUCUAAUUUGCUCCCAUUCUAGACAAUCUUUCUGCCAGGCAGCUAUGUUGUAAUGGAAAGUUUAAUGGACUUGGAAUUAGUGGGCCUGCUUUCAAAUCCCAGCUCUGUACUCAGCAGAACCACCUUGGGCAAUUCACUGACUCUCAGAGCCUUGGAUCCCCGUUUGCAAAAUGGGGAUAAUAAUGGUUCUGUCAUAGGGAACUUUAUGAGGAUUUAAUGAGAUAAUGUGUGUGGAAGCAAAUUAACAUUGUGCUUAGAACCCACAUUUAAGUUGACUCCCUACGUUUGAAUUCAGGCGUUUCCGCUCAAUAACUAUGUGACCUGGAGAAAGUUCCUUAACCUCGCUGGGCUUCAUCUUUUUUGUUUGCAAAAUGGAGAUAUUAACAAUGUAUAUGUCAUAGUCCAUAGUGAUGAUUAAAUUGAGACAAUAUAUUAAAGUGCUUAACACAGUUCCUGGCACACUAUAAACUCUAAUAGGUGUAAGCUAUUAGGAUUAUGUGCAAGAGAUUUAGUACAGUGCUGAACACCUAAUCAGGCACCUAAAAAAUAUUUGCUAACUUUGUUGAUGAAUUCAUCACAUCUAUAUGAUCUCAUUUCCCACUAAUUCUUACUAUGCACAUUCUUGUCACCCUUCCUCCAGACCGACUAUCUUGGUUUUCCAUGAAUACAUCUUCCACUUCUCUUGCCUUUGGUUACAGUAUUUCUCUUUUCCAGAAUGUCAUGAUUUCUCUUCCCUGCCUAUCUAAAUUCUUCCUGUUUUUCAAGGUCUAUUCUAAAUCUUGCUUCCAUAAAUCUUUUUCUUAGUACUUCUUUUAAAAAAAAUUUUUUUUAAUGUUUAUUUUUGAGAAGCAGAGAGAGAAAGAGACAGAGUGCGAGCGGAGGAGGGGCAGAGAGAGUGGGAGACACAGAAUCUGAAGCAGGCUCCAGGCUCUGAGCUGUCAGCACAGAGCCCAAUGCCAGGCUCGAACUCACAAACCAUGAGAUCAUGACCUGAGCCAAAGUCAGACGCUUAACUGACUGAACCACCCAGGCAUCCCUCUUAGUAUUUUUGUACUUAACCAAUUUCUCGCUCUUUUGAACCAGUUACCCUUGAUUUAGCAUCUGGUACACUUAGAUACUAUUUCCUGUAUAUUCAUUUUGUGUCUUCAACUAGUUUGGAGAAUAUUCCUCUAGCAUUGUUUCAGUAUACACAGUAUUGUUUCAGCAUUGUUUCAGAAGACACAGUAAAUAUAGUGAAUAUUUAAUCUCCUAGACUACUGUAUCAACUCAGCCCACCUCUUGGGAUCACAUUCCUUAAUUAUAUUUAGGGUCGAAUUUGGAGAGAGGGACACACACUUCGUUGUCUAAGGGUGAGGAAGGAUCCAGAAUUUUGAACCAAUUUUUCAGACUUAGAGUCACUUAUCAGUAGUGUGCACAUGAGGGUGGGCAGAUUGGGGGUAGAUGGUUAUAGAGAUAAGGAGUUCCCACUACAUGGGACAAGGUCCUAUGGCCUCUGGGGGCAAAGUGUUGAAGAAAUACCUAAGCAUGGCAUCUCAGCAGGUAAGGGGCUGGAGGCAGACUAAGAGGUGACUAAGACAAGGAAAGUGUCCCCAUUCAAAUCUGGUUCUUGCUGUGACAGGCUUUGCCUUUAACUAGUUUCUCAAGCUUCUUACACCUUACACAACACUUGCCCUAUUGAGAAACUGGUUUUGCGUGAAACUUCCCAUGGCUUGAAGCAAGUAUCCAUGACGGUGUUUGCAUACCAUUGGGGUUUUACCCCUCCCAAAUGUACCAAUAAAGAUGAAGCGACAUUCAGAUGACGUGGUAUGAAGGGAAUCACUGCAGCCUCCAAAACGGAGCAUGUUUGAACUAUGCGAAAGGUUCAUACCAGCAUUUCACAAUGAUCUCAGAGAAGGCCAAGGAAGACUAGUGCAGGAUGCAAGGUAAAGAACGUGGUCUUUGCCCUAGUUCUCACGGAGCCUUCUCUGUCCUGUAGCCUGUGAUGAUCUUCCCAUCUCUGGACUCCUGUACUACCUACUGUCUUGACCACACAGUUCAGUCCUGCAUUACACAUUGUCUUCUGAACAUUGCUUUACGAGUUGUGUCCCCCAGCUCAGUUUCUUGAGAAUGCAGACCAUCUCUCUGUCUUUGGUGUCCCCUAUGGAGCCUCUCGAUACAAUUUAACUCUAUUGGGCACAGCAAGAUUCCCAACAAUGAGUGUUGAUGGAUUUGUUUUUGAAAAUGUAAAUUCACAAAAAGUAGCUCCACUAGGGGGAACUGGUUUCUUUUUUUAAGUGGCAGGUGUUGGCAGUCCCCUCAUCAUUUGUGGUGCAGUCCUCAGUGGCAGCCUCCUUUCAGAGGUCAGGGACUCAAGACAUACAGGUGGGACACAAGGUCCCAGUGCUUUCCCACUUAAGAGAGAAGGAUGUUCUGCCUGGUGCCUGAGACCCCUUCCUGACUCCCCAUUCUGCUCCCAAUCACAGAGGCCAUACAGUCAGAGCCGUGAGGGACCUUGGGAGAUCAUCUGACUCAACUCCCUUAUUUUGUAGAUGAGGAAACUGGGACUCAGGGAAGCAUAGCUGAAGGUGGUAGGAAGAGGAUGAAUGGGCAUUGUGUCAGGUAGAAUUGGACACUAAUCCCAAUGCUGCCGCUUUCUAGCUGUGUGAUUGUGGAAGAGUCUCUUCACAUCUUGAAAGCUCAAUUUCUUCAUCUUUGAAGUGGGGGAGAACAAUGCCUACCGCCUGGAGUUGUGAGAAUUGAGUGAGAUCAUACAUGUAAAUGCAGUGUUUGGCAAUAAGAGAUGCUUCAUACUUGUUGGCUCUCUCUCCUUGCUUUUUCUUGAGUGUCCUGCCCAAAUUUAAAGUGCUGGCCUCUCCCGUUUUUCAAGUUAAAUAUAUUUUUCAGUCACAUACUAAGGCUGGCCUUCUACCUGCUGGAAAAUUAGUAUCAGCGAUUAAAAGUGUUUUGUAGUUAUCUUCACUGAGCGUUUGGACCAAUAUAUUUUGAGGACAUUUAUAUUACUUAGAGAUGAAAGAGCUUAAAAGACAGGAAUACUGAAUUUCAGAGUGAAAUUCAAAGGUGUUGAGGUUUUACCCAUUUUUCAGCUACAGUGUUUGAGCUCCUGGUGUCUUAAAAUAGUACUGAUGGCCUUUUACCCCUUAAAAAAAUUCCAUUCUCUGAUAUAUUUACAUGCUUUGCCUUGCAACCUGAUAUUUUUCACCUGUCUUUCUUAAGACAUACUCUGCAGUCCAUUAAUCAUUAAUUGGAGCUAAAAUGAAAACAUGGCUGUUGAGGUUCUGGUAAAGAUAUAAGAAAUGCACUGGUAAUGAUCAUGGCAGACUUGUGAGGUGGUUUAGUCUCAGAAAUGGAAUGGACAUUCAUAUCAUUUAUAAAAUUUAAUACUUUAUGGUGAACGUUUCUUUCCCAUGCUGAAGAAGGUUUAUGAGGAUCAUUAUUUCUCUUAAAAAUUUUAGCUAAGGGGCACCUGGGUGGCUCGGUAGGUUAAGCGUCCAACUCUUGAUUUUGGCUCAGGUCAUGAUGUCACAGUUUGGAAGUUCGAGCCCGUGUGGGGCUCUGUGCUGGUGGUGCAGAACUUGCUUCGGAUUCUCUCUCUCUCUCUCUUAAAAUAAAUAAGCUUUUAAAAAAAUGAAAACAAAUUAAAUAAAAAUUUUAAUUAUAUUCACUGUGUUUGGCUGCAAAUAUAUCUUUGCAUUAAGCAGAAUCAGGAUCAGACCAGAAGAAAAAUCUUAACAUGAAAUGUCUCCUAAUUAUGACUAUUACAAUUACCAAAUUGUGAUUGAUGAUUCAUUAUUUGGUGAAUCAGUUAGGUCCUACAAGGCAGAGGGACAAAGCAGGGGAAACCUCCCUGAAGUUUUCUUCGUAGAAGUUGUGGUAAGCAGAAUAAAGAUCCCUCAAAGUCCUUGUCCUAAUCCUCAGAACCUGUGAAUGUUAGGCUACAUAGCAAGGGGUGGGGAGAAUUAAAGUUGCCAAUUAGCCGACCUUAACAUAAGGGGAAUAUUCUGGAUUAUCCAGGUGGGCCCAAUGUAAUCACAGGGGUCCUUGAUAGGGAGGAAGGAGGGACAGAGGAGACCCAGAGAGAGGGUUGGUGAUGUAAGAAGAACCCAAUCGACCAUUGUUGGCUUUGAACAUGGAAGAAGAGCCCACAAGCCAAGGAAUGCAGGCAGCAUGUAGAAGCUGGAAAGAAUAAGGACAUGGAUUUUCCCCUAGAGUGGGAAAUAGCCUACUGACACCUUGACUUUAGCCCAGUAAGACCCCCCUUUUUUUUUUUGAGAGAGAGAGAGAGAGAGAGAGAAAAGAAAGAGAACACACGCAUGUGUGUGUGCAUGCGAGCCAGGGAGGGACAGAGAGAGAGGAGGGAGAGAGAGAUUCCCACAGGCUCUGCACUGUCAGCAUGAUGGAGCCCAAUGUGGGGCUUGAUCUCGCAAAUCCAUGAGAUCAUGACUUGAGGCAAAACCAAGAGUCAGCCACUUAACCGACUGAGCCAUCCAGGCGCCCUGAGACGCAUUUCAGAUGUGUGAGUUCCAGAACUAUAAGAAGAUACAUUUGUGGUGUUUUCAGUUACUAAGCAGGUGGUAAUUUGUUUAGAGCAGCCAUAGAAAACCACAACAGUGGGUUUCUCCAAAGGCUGACAGACUAUCCUGCCCCAAAGAUGCUGCCUCGCAUUCAAGGAUUUCACACAAUCAUAGGCAACAAGGUUUCCAAAGGGCCUGAGAGGUAGGGAGAGGCAGAAGACCAUUGUUAAGGGGGCAAAGUGAUCAGCAGUUAGAAGAGAGUGCUUCUCAUGUCUGGCACCACAAGGGAUGGAUACAAAAUAUAAAUACAACUCACAGCCUCCUGUCUGUGAAUAGCCAUAUUCACUAUUUACAUCACAUCUUAUAUGCCUUUAUAAAGGACUAUGCUGAAAUAGUCUCAUUUAGUCCUCCCACCAGUCCUAUGAGAUGGAAACUGGUAUUAUUCCGUUUUGUAAAUAAGAAAACUGAAGUUUAGACUGCUAAUUCUCCUGAAAUCAGACAGUAGUAAGUGGAAGAGAAGGGAUCCAAACAGAUCUGACUACAGAGACUAGGCAUUUCACUACUUUGAUAUCUGUCCUGCCUGGAGCUGCGUGGCCAGGAACUCAACUCACGUAGGGGCUGUGCAUUAGUCAGGGUAGCUUCUACUAAUAAAUGGAGGUUGUGGGGAGAGGUGCAGAGAAUAGUUAGCAGUGAACAUCCAUCCUCCAGAUGCCUGGUUUUCAUGAAUCUUCCUCGAAUAUACCUAUUGUCAAAAACAUCACUGGCCAGUAGUAGUUUCUUGCAAACAUUUUUAAUUCACUGUUCACCAAAAACCUAAAUUUGACAUGUUUAAAAUAUAGCUCAACCCACCUCCCCUACCCUAAUCAGACCUCCAACCGAGACUUUCCUAUUUCUUUUUUUUUUUUUUUAAAUGUUUGUUUAUUUUGGGGCACCUGGGUGGCUCCGUCGGUUAAGUGUCUGACUUCAGCUCAGGUCAUGGUCUCACAGUUCAUGAGUUCAAGCCCCACAUCGGGCAAUGUGCCGACAGCUCAGAGCCUGCAGCCUGCUUCGGAUUCUGUGUCUCCCUCUCUCUCUAUGCUCUGUGUUCCCCCACUUGUGCUCUGUCUCUCUCUCUCAAAAAUAAAUAAACAUUAAAAAAAUAAUUUAAAAAUAUUUAUUUAUUUUGAGAGUGAGAGAGAGAGAGAGUGCACACGCGUGUGUACAAGACCAGGAAAGGGGCACAGAGAGAGAGAGAGGGAGAGAGAAUCCCAAGCAGGCUCUGUGCUGAGGCUGGGCUCAAUCUCACCAACUGAACCAUGAGAUGACCUAAACCCAAUCAAGAGUCAGCUGCUUAACUGACUGAGCCACCCAGGUGCCCCUCUUUUUUUUUGUUUUUAAGUUUAUUUAUUUAUUUUUGAGAGAGACAGAAAGCACACAUGCAGGGUAGGGACAGACAGAGAGAGAGAAAGAGAAUCCCAGGCAGGCUCUGUGCUGUCAGUGCAGAGCCCAAUGUGAGGCUUGAUCUCACAAACCACGAGAUCAUGACCUGAGCCAAAAUCAAGAAUCAGAUGCUUAGCAGACUGAGCCACCCAGGCACCCCUCUAGUUCUUUUAAGAAUGUCAUUGUUAAUCCAGUCAUCUAUACUCAACAGCUAUAUAAACAAUAACAGCUAACACUUCCUGAGAACACAUUCCAGUUAUUGUGCUAAGCAUCUUAGACAUCAUCCAUUUAAUCCUCUCAACAACCCUAUGAGGAAGGUACAAUUAUUAGCCCCAUUUUAUAGAUGCGUAAAUUGAAACUUAUGUAAACCGCCAAAGGUGACACCUUAGCAUCAUCUUUCAGUACUCAUCUCCACCCUCCAUAGCAAAUGAAUCACCAAGUCUUCUCAAUUCUCUCUCUGUACUAUUUCUUGCAUUCAUUGCUUUCCUUCCCUGUCCAUUGCCACUGCACCAGUCUUAGCCCUUUUUGACUUAGGUCUGAAUUGUUGCCAGUGCCCAAUAUGGUCUCUCAUGUUCCACAAUUUCCUUCCUUAGAUCUUUCUAAUAUGCUUCGGUCAGACUAAGCCACCUAAAAACCCAGUUAUCCCAUCCAUUUCCAAGUUCAAACCUUUAAACUAGAGGACAUAUAGCCAAAUGUCCCCAGACAUCAUCCUUAGUAUGAUGGUAGCAAUACUUUUUUUGAAAAAUUAAAUAACUUUAUUAGAUUACAAUUAAAAGGAAAAAAAAUGUUACAAUUUUUAGGUUGAAAUUAUAGGACAAGAUACAGCACAAAGAUAAGCAAACACUAGUUUAGAGAGUUCUCACUAGUUAUCUGACCAUCCUAAAUAUACAAUUCCAUUUUUUAGAGACAAGCUUUUGCAUAGUUAGUAACGUAGUAACAUAGUACUAACAUAGUAGUUAUGUAAAUAUGCUUAGUGUUUUCCAUGUAUUUAUAAACAUCAUUAUUAGUAUUAAAAUAACUGAUGUACAUGGUAAAAGAAAAACUGAAACACAAUACCACCAAAGGAUAUAACAAUAAAAACAUUUCUGUCCCAAGAUUGAAUAAGGUGAUUUGUACUUCCUUCUUCACACUUUUCUGUAACUUACAGACUUUUAGCAAUGCACAGGUACUGCUUUAUAAUAGAAAACAAAGCUAAUAAAGCGUGAUUUUAAAAAGGAACCACAUUUUCCAUCAUUCCCUGCUACUUACAAUAUAAAAGCUAAAUUCUUUGGCUGAGGCCCUAUGUAAUCUGGCUCCAAACUGCUUUCCAGGCUUAUUAUAUACUACUCAAUACAAAUGUUCUGCUUCAGUUAAACUAUUUUAAGCACAUUUUCCCUGCUGUGUCUCUGACUGUGUGUUUUCUCUUCCUGGAAUGAGCUUUCCCAUUCUCUUUUAAUAUCCCAAUUCAAUCUAUUGUUCCAGAUCUAAGUGAGUUCUACAUACAGCUUUUCCUAAAGAGGAAGGAAUCAGUAGUCAGUAUUCACCAUGUGGGCUAUGUACUAUAUUUGGCGCUUUAUGUGGUAUUCAUUGGAACCUCACAACAGCUCUUGACAGUUGGCAUUAAUUACCUUCAUUUUACAGAUGAGGAAACUAAGUUUCCUUCAAGUCACCCAGCCAGUAUGUGAUAGAGCUAGAAUUUGCAGAUGGCUGUCUCUUCCCCAGCUCAGGGAAAUCUCAUUUGUUCCAACUUUUGUAGCACAUUAUCUGAGUAAGUUUGACCAGUAAUCACAGACGUGCAUUCCAAGAUGGUGGCAUUGCUCAUAAUACUAUUUUGAAUUACUUAUACUUUGCAUUUUUGUUUAUCUUCUCAACAAAACCUCCUGUGAGAAAACUUCGGUGUGAGUUCUCACUUGUGACUUCCUAGCUAUUUGUCUUUGAGUCAACUCCUUAACCUUUCUCGACCUCAAGUUAGGUAAUAACAAUACCUAACUCUUAGGGUUGUUAUGAGAGUUAAAAACUCAAUAUAUACCUGGUACAAAAGAGCUGAUUGUUGUGCAUUUGACUUAACAUGGUGAUAUUAAUUUAUUUUCAAAUUCCACUUAAUUUCUAGUUUCUUUAUACCAGGGGUUUGAGAUAUUCCUAAGACUCAGUGUCCUAAAGAGGACUAGACCUUUUUCUUUAAUACAAAAACUGGCUUUACACAAAUUUAAAAAGAAUUUUUCAAUUAAAACGGGAUUUUACAGGAUGCCUGACUGGCUCAGUUGGUAGAGCAUGUGGCUCUUGAUCUCAGGGUUAUAGGUUCGAGCCCCACGUUGGGUGUAGAGAUUACUUAAAAAAAAUCUUGGGGUGCCUGGGUGGCUCAGUCGGUUGAGCGUCCGACUUCAGCUCAGGUCAUGAUCUCAUACUCCAUGAGUUCAAGCCCCGCAUCGGGCUCUGUGCUGACAGCUCAGAGCCUGGAGCCCGCUUCAGAUUCUGUGUCUCCCCCCUCUUCCUACCCCUCCCCUGCUCAUGCUCUGUCUCUCUCUGUCUCCAAAAUAAAUAAAAACAUAAAAAAAAAUUUUUUUUUUAGUCUUAAAAACCCAUUAUUUUGCUAUUUAGUCAGAAUAUCCUUUCUUGCUGUUUAAUCAACAUUGAACAAGAAGUUCAGUUACUGGUUAAAAAUUGUUCCUAAAGGUAAGGAAAGAUAAGUUACAAACAGAGAUGGAGGCAAACCAUAAGAGACUUUUAAAUACAGAGAACAAAUGGAGGGUUGAUGGAGGUGGAGACCUGGGGGGGCGGUGGGGAAAAUCGGAGAUGGGCAUUGAGGAAGGCACUUGUCGGGAUGAGCACUGGGCAUUGUAUGUAAGCGAUAAAUCAUGGGAAUCUAUUCCUGAAGCCAAGACUACAUUGUAUAUACUGUAUGUUAGCUAACUUGACAACGAAUUAUUUAAAAAAUAAAUAAAUGAAAAUAAAUAAAUAAAAAUGUAAAAAAAAAUGUCCCUAAUGGUAAAUGUCUACAUUUAUAAACAGGAAUAUUGUUAUUGAAUGUUGUCAUUUUUAGUCCAGAGAGCCACUGUGGAUUUUAAAAUUGAGCACAUUGGGACCUGAAUUUACUCAAAAAAAAAAGGGAAAAACAAUUAAAAAUUGCUGGCCUUCAAAAACAGCCUUUUUUAAUUUUUUACUAUUCUUUAUAGUAAAAAGAAGAGAAAAAGAAUACAGAGAAAGAAUACAGAGAAAAAGAAUAUCGCUGUAUUUACUCCAACUAUUUUCCUUUAGGGUCAGAUGAAAAGAAGCAAAAUUCACAAAUACUUUCUAGCCUUUUAUCUAUUUACUUACUCCCUACUACCACCAUCAUUUUUUGGUGGUUAUAAAAUAAUUUUUAAGCCUUUUGAAAAUAAGUACAUCUGGUGUUAGAAAUGAUAAAUCUUUUAUUCUUAAUAUUCUAUUUCACAUUUAUUAAGAGUUGUCAAAACAACCUUGACAACCCCCCCCCCCCAACGUGUGUUCUAUAUAAAUGAAAAAUAAAGUUUGGGCUAUAACUAGCAAAAGUCCAUCUACAACUUGCCUGAGCUCACACAGAGAAGUUUGCAUCUCUCAGAGUACUUUUCGACCUGUUGGUUAUGAAUUGUUUGAUUAAACAAAACAAACAGUCUGGUUAUCACAUCAUUAGGAUCUUCAUCGGGUUUACAUGUCUCGCAUCUGUCUAUAGCGAGGGAUGAUCCUCUUUUCCGUAAGUGUCAAGCUUCUUGUCAGAAUAGAUUCUAUUCCAGUUUCUAUUUUCUUCCUUUUCAUUCCCUUUUCAAGUCACUGCAAUCUUGCCUGUGCAAGACUGUUUUCAGUGAAACCACCCUGUCCACGGUCACUUUAUUGCUAAAUCAGAGACCUUUUAGACCUUACCAUCGAGACUUCUCUGAGCAUCAACUCACUGGAAGCACACUCUUUCCCUGCUUGAAACUCUUUUCUUGACUUUCUGUAACAGCCGUGAUCCACUGCUUUUCUUCUUUCCUAGUUUCUCCUUCUCAGCAUCCCUGUGAGCUUCUUUUGGACUGCCUCUUCCCAAAACAUCAGUAAUUCCCUUGAUUCCCAACAUCUUUUUUCUCUCACUCUCCAUUGGCCAUGACUGUGACUAAAAUAUGGCUAACGAAUCCCAAAUCUUUAUCUCCUGCCUGGACAUGGCCUCUGAGCUUCAGACUCAUGAAUGCAACAGUCUAUUCCUCUUCACUUUCCAUAGGUACCUUGAACUCAACACGCUUAGAAUUCAACUUAUCUUUCCCCUGGUGAUGUAAGUAGCCCUGUCACCCAUCCAUUUGCUUGAGUCAGAAACCUAGAAGUCAUCCUAGAUACUGCCUUCCCCCUUAACGGUUCAGAUCUAACUGGUCACUGGUCCUUUUGAUUCCAGUUUUUUAACAUCUCUUCCAUGUGUCUUCUCUCCAUUUAUAUUUAACUCUCUAACUUGUGCAAGUGUCCCUCGUCUUGCUUUACGUCAUCCCUUCCAAACCAUUUUUUAUGCCACAAAAUGCACACUGGAUCCUGUCAUUUCUCCUGCUUAAAAUCUUCCAGUGGCUUCCUCACUGCUUGCUUUGAGUAGAGUCCAAGCCCUUUGGCAUAGCUUAUAAGGCCUCUAUGAUCUUGUUUAUGCUUAGAUAUGUAGGACACGUUAUACAGAUUGCAGCUCUUCCAUUUACUGUGUGAUUAAACAAGUUAACUGUAAAAUGGAGGUAAUGGUAAUUGUGAGGAUUUAAAUGAGAUCAUUUGCAAAAAACGUUAGCUGUUAUCUUAAAUUACAGUUAACAUCCUUAUUUGUAAGUCUAUGGAAAACAGUACUAUCAUUUCCUGAAGAUAAAAUUCUUAAAGUAGAAUUGCUGGGUAUGCAUUUUUAGACUUUUCAAAGCAUAUUGCCAAAUUGCCCUGCAGAAUAGUUACACCAAUUUAUACUUUGACCAGUGACAUUGAGAAGGCCUGUUUCACCACACUCUUGACCUAAUCCUGGGGUUACUCAUUUAAAAAAAAUCUUUGCCAAAUUGAUAAGUGAAAGGUCAUCUAGUUUUUAUAGUUAAUUAUGUCUAUUUACAUAUUUGCUACCGAAAGAUCAGAUAUACACUGAUAACAGCGUUAUUGCUAUUUACUUUUUCUCAGUUCUAAGUCUUAAUUUGACAUUGAGGUUUUUUCACCUCUUUCAUGAGCUGGGAUUUUAUGUUUUUGAACCCCUUUACCUCCUUCUUUCCUUCCAUUUCCUUAGUAAACAGUAUGUAUUUGCUUAAUUUAAUCGAAUGAAAUUGAAUUCCUAUUAGACUUUUAAGUACUACAUUUGGUGCAAUUUCUUUGUUUCUUUAGAUGAGGAGCACAGACUGCUGUACUGAGAGUUGGGAAACCUGUUUCUAAUCCCAGCUCAGUCCCUGACUAGCUGUGCAUCUUUGGGCAAGCCACUUAACCUCUCUGGACCUUCGCUUUCUUGUAUGUAAAGUGAGUGGGAUGGUACCAGGUAAUGUCUCAGGUAUCUUCUACUUCUCAUAUUACAUAGCUAAAAUGUUUCUUUCAUGCGGUUUCUUCAGGGGCAAACACUUGGAACUGUGUAGGACCUUAUAAUGCAUAGCAAGGAGUUCAAAUUCUAUCCUAAAGAAUUUAAGCAAGUUAGUACAUGAUCGGAUUUAUGAAGCCUAAAUAUAACUAAGCCUAAUAGUUUGGUUUUGAAGAGAGAGUUUGAAUAAUCUAUAAAUAGUUAUUUAAUCUGGCAGCUCCCUUUCCAAAUAGGAAGGAAGCAUGUUUGAUAAAAAUGUGUAGCAUUUUGUAGUAUUUGUAGAAUACUGUGUCUCCUACUCUGCCACAAAUACUGCUCCCCUCCAGGACAGUGUCAUCUCUUUGAGGCAAAACUUGCUGCUUUACAGAACUAUGAUUCAUUUGUAUAGUGCCAUGAGCCCCAGGACAAUAGCAGCCACCACCAUCCAAAGUCAUAGCCAAGACUUAAAUGUAAAGUAGGUCGAAUUUGUUUUUGUGGGGUGUGUGUGUGUGUGUGUGUGUGUGUGUGUUUGUGUGUGUGUUGAUAGUCCUUUAAAAAUCUGUUGAAAGCUAGGUACUCACAGAAAAACCCACAUAAGAAUAUAUGCACAAAAUUUUAGGGGCCUCCUGGACCCUUGGAAGCCCAUCCAUAUAUUCCCUAGCAAUACAUGAAUCCUAGGGUAGGAACAUUUAUUGGGACAUUAAAGGGAUCCCUGGAGAUUAAAUAACCAAAAAUGCUUCCUUUCUGGAAAGAGAGCUGC